GACCUGGUCGGGUGGUCCGCCUAACGGUGUGUACUGCCUGACUGGGCCUUACCUCUUGGUGAGCCGGCGUGCCCUUUAUUGGUGUGCGCCGGGGAACCAGGACUUUUACCUUGAGAAAAUUAGAGUGUUCAAAGCAGGCCUAUGCCCGAAUACAUUAGCAUGGAAUAAUAGAAUAGGACUUUGGUUCUAUUUUGUUGGUUUAGGGCCGAAGUA
Molecule: ribosomal RNA, 213 nt
Filed under: uncultured fungus
Lineage: Eukaryota; Fungi
Description: partial small subunit ribosomal RNA
Rfam family: Eukaryotic small subunit ribosomal RNA (bases 92-213)
Source: RNAcentral